GAUGAACGCUGGCGGCGUGCCUAAUACAUGCAAGUCGAGCGAACAGACGAGGAGCUUGCUCCUCUGACGUUAGCGGCGGACGGGUGAGUAACACGUGGAUAACCUACCUAUAAGACUGGGAUAACUUCGGGAAACCGGAGCUAAUACCGGAUAAUAUAUUGAACCGCAUGGUUCAAUAGUGAAAGACGGUUUUGCUGUCACUUAUAGAUGGAUCCGCGCCGCAUUAGCUAGUUGGUAAGGUAACGGCUUACCAAGGCAACGAUGCGUAGCCGACCUGAGAGGGUGAUCGGCCACACUGGAACUGAGACACGGUCCAGACUCCUACGGGAGGCAGCAGUAGGGAAUCUUCCGCAAUGGGCGAAAGCCUGACGGAGAAACGCCGCGUGAGUGAUGAAGGUCUUCGGAUCGUAAAACUCUGUUAUUAGGGAAGAACAAAUGUGUAAGUAACUAUGCACGUCUUGACGGUACCUAAUCAGAAAGCCACGGCUAGCUACGUG
RNAcentral lists this ribosomal RNA (497 nucleotides) under uncultured bacterium. RNAcentral's name for it is "partial 16S ribosomal RNA". It matches the Rfam family "Bacterial small subunit ribosomal RNA", at positions 28 to 507 of the family's 1533-position model. The record is from RNAcentral.